AGAGUCAACGCUGGCGGCGUGCCUAACACAUGCAAGUCGCACGAGAAAGUGGAGCAAUCCACGAGUAAAGUGGCGCACGGGUGAGUAACACGUGAAUAAUCUACCUCCGAGUGGGGAAUAACUGAGAGAAAUCUUAGCUAAUACCGCAUAAUACCCACGGGUCAAAGCAGCAAUGCGCUUGGAGAGGAGUUCGCGGCCGAUUAGCUAGUUGGCGGGGUAAUGGCCCACCAAGGCGAUGAUCGGUA
RNAcentral lists this ribosomal RNA (245 nucleotides) under uncultured bacterium. RNAcentral describes it as "partial small subunit ribosomal RNA". It matches the Rfam family "Bacterial small subunit ribosomal RNA", at positions 26 to 285 of the family's 1533-position model. The record is from RNAcentral.